RNAcentral lists this ribosomal RNA (720 nucleotides) under uncultured Staphylococcus sp. Its description in RNAcentral is "bacterial SSU rRNA". It matches the Rfam family "Bacterial small subunit ribosomal RNA", at positions 61 to 763 of the family's 1533-position model. The record is from RNAcentral. Lineage: Bacteria; Bacillati; Bacillota; Bacilli; Caryophanales; Staphylococcaceae.
GUCGAGCGAACAGACGAGGAGCUUGCUCCUCUGACGUUAGCGGCGGACGGGUGAGUAACACGUGGAUAACCUACCUAUAAGACUGGGAUAACUUCGGGAAACCGGAGCUAAUGCCGGAUAAUAUAUUGAACCGCAUGGUUCAAUAGUGAAAGACGGUUUUGCUGUCACUUAUAGAUGGAUCCGCGCCGCAUUAGCUAGUUGGUAAGGUAACGGCUUACCAAGGCAACGAUGCGUAGCCGACCUGAGAGGGUGAUCGGCCACACUGGAACUGAGACACGGUCCAGACUCCUACGGGAGGCAGCAGUAGGGAAUCUUCCGCAAUGGGCGAAAGCCUGACGGAGCAACGCCGCGUGAGUGAUGAAGGUCUUCGGAUCGUAAAACUCUGUUAUUAGGGAAGAACAAAUGUGUAAGUAACUAUGCACGUCUUGACGGUACCUAAUCAGAAAGCCACGGCUAACUACGUGCCAGCAGCCGCGGUAAUACGUAGGUGGCAAGCGUUAUCCGGAAUUAUUGGGCGUAAAGCGCGCGUAGGCGGUUUUCUAAGUCUGAUGUGAAAGCCCACGGCUCAACCGUGGAGGGUCAUUGGAAACUGGAAAACUUGAGUGCAGAAGAGGAAAGUGGAAUUCCAUGUGUAGCGGUGAAAUGCGCAGAGAUAUGGAGGAACACCAGUGGCGAAGGCGACUUUCUGGUCUGUAACUGACGCUGAUGUGCGAAAGCGUG